UUUGCUUCAUGCAAAACAUCUCUUGUUUUAUUUCUCUACCUAAGGUCUAAGGUCUUCAGGGCCUCAAAAGAGAAUACUUAAGAUGAAAAGGGAGCAAUUGCCUUCAUGGAAAGGCUUUUUCUUUAUUUUGACACCUCUGGCCUUUUAAAGCCUAUUCAUUGGAAGAGAAAAGAAAAUAUUUGGGAUAGGAAAAAAAGAAAAAAUGUAUUCUUGCAAACAAAUAUCCUGCUUAUUACAUCACCCCAGGCCUUCAGAGCCCCAUUAAUUGUGAGAGAAUAGAGAAAAGGUGAGAUGAAAAAGGAGACAUGUGCUUCCUGCCGAUAAAUUUGGCAUUUAUUUCGCCACCUGAGGUCUUCAAGGCCUCUUAUUUGAUAGUGGAGAUAGACUAACUGGAGUGCAAAAAGGAGAGAUUGGAUUCCUACACCAACUAACUGGCCUCCAUGCCAGCAACUAACUAUGCAUCCCCCCCAGUGCUCUCUUCAGGCUACUGCCCUGGUCUUUCUGGCUUGGGCUGUUGGAGAGAGCAAAGAAGUUGGAGUGAGGUCAAGAGCUUCAUGCACAUUCCCCCUAGUUAUCCCGGAAAGGGUUUUCCCUUGUAUCUUCCCACUCUGCCUGCUCUGCUCUGUCGACGUUGGACAAAAGCACCAAACCACUCCAAGCCAUCUAACGAGAUUCUUCAUCCUAAGACCUGAAAUGGUUUAGUGUGGAAAUGAUACAGAAAGAAACUGGGCCUGCCAACACUCCUCAGGAAAUGCUCCUUUGUCAGCCAUAGAAUGUCUAAUUACAGAAGAAUGGAAGAGGAGGGCAAAUCAUAUGAUUGUUGGAUUUGGAGAAAAUCUGGCUACUGGUUAAGAGGGACCUAACUGUUCCUGGGCCGAAGGCUCAGUCUCGAAGCCUCCGGUCCAGGACAUGGGAGGACGAUAAAAGAGAAUUUUCAGUGGAAGAGGAGGGAUUUUGCAUCAUGCCCAAUUCUGGAAAAUCUGUUCAUGCCGACAGCCUCACCUCAGAAGAUCUCCCAUCACGGGUCUUCACGGCCCAGGGGCGUAUAGGGGAAAAGUCAUUUGAUGCAGAAAUCUUCUUUUGGCUCACCAUCACCCAUCCUUGCUUCCCUGGUCU
Molecule: long non-coding RNA, 1116 nt
Organism: Ornithorhynchus anatinus (platypus)
Lineage: Eukaryota; Metazoa; Chordata; Mammalia; Monotremata; Ornithorhynchidae
Exons: 3
Source: RefSeq, a predicted model, not a curated record